AUUGAACGCUGGCGGCAUGCCUUACACAUGCAAGUCGAACGGCAGCACGGGAGCAAUCCUGGUGGCGAGUGGCGAACGGGUGAGUAAUAUAUCGGAACGUGCCCAGUCGUGGGGAUAACGUAGCGAAAGCUACGCUAAUACCGCAUACGAUCUAUGGAUGAAAGCGGGGGAUCGCAAGACCUCGCGCGAUUGGAGCGGCCGAUAUCAGAUUAGGUAGUUGGUGAGGUAAAGGCUCGCCAAGCCGACGAUCUGUAGCUGGUCUGAGAGGACGACCAGCCACACUGGGACUGAGACAGGCCCAGACUCCUACGGGAGGCAGCAGUGGGGGAAUUUUUGGACAAUGGGCGCGAAGCCUGAUCCAGCAAUGCCGCGUGCAGGAUGAAGGCUCGGUGUAA
This 395-nucleotide ribosomal RNA is filed under the name uncultured bacterium. RNAcentral describes it as "bacterial SSU rRNA". It matches the Rfam family "Bacterial small subunit ribosomal RNA", at positions 30 to 428 of the family's 1533-position model. The record is from RNAcentral.